CGGAAAGCCUCUGCCCCUUCCUAAACUCGCGUCCGACGAUGGCGAAAGACCGACGGCGACGACGGCUUCAGGGGCCGAUUCAGGUGAGUCUUUUCUUUUCUCUUUUUUGAUUUUUUUAAUUACUUUAAAAUAGAUUUGCAAAGAAAAAAAUAAAACACAAUAGGAUACAAUACAAAACAAGAAGAAAUAGUAAGGAUUCAACCUUUUAAAAUUUCUAUAUCGCUCUUGAUUUCUGAUGUGGGUUUUUACAAAGAAGAAUCCCCCCAAAUACAGUGAUGAAGCCCCCCCUUUUACAUUGUUUUUCAAGGCUUAUAAAGCCGAAAAUCAACCCAUUCUCUGCCCCUUUUGCUGCUUCUAUUCCCCUUUUUUAUGUUGCUUGCAGGUACUUGACGAAGGCAGAGGCGUGGCUUGCCGUUUUGGUGCUAGGCGGUGGCUAGGGUGUCAGGUAAGCCUCGGGACGAGGCGCGGAUGGUACGCCCGAGGGAGUAGCGCACAUGGGCAGUAGGGCUACGGCGCGAAAGGGCAGGGAACCCUAGGGUUCCCUGUGCUGUUUAGUUUUUUGGGCCCCAAUAGGCCGUUUUAAAUUUUGGGCCUUGGGCUAUUGGGUAUUUGUUUUUGUAAUUGGGCCUCGGGUUAAUAUUUUUGGCACUAGGCCCGGGUAAAAUUGGGUCUGUACA
RNAcentral lists this long non-coding RNA (677 nucleotides) under Gossypium raimondii (Peruvian cotton). RNAcentral describes it as "long non-coding RNA (GRAI_LNC011188)". Lineage: Eukaryota; Viridiplantae; Streptophyta; Magnoliopsida; Malvales; Malvaceae. The record is from RNAcentral.